Molecule: ribosomal RNA, 161 nt
Filed under: Rhynchostegium riparioides
Lineage: Eukaryota; Viridiplantae; Streptophyta; Bryopsida; Hypnales; Brachytheciaceae
Also listed under: 1 other name
Description: partial 18S ribosomal RNA
Rfam family: Eukaryotic small subunit ribosomal RNA
Source: RNAcentral
GUCGCUCCUACCGAUUGAAUGGUCCGGUGAAGUUUUCGGAUCGCGGCGACGCCGGCGGUUCGCCGCCGGUGACGUUGUGAGAAGUUCAUUAAACCUUAUCAUUUAGAGGAAGGAGAAGUCGUAACAAGGUUUCCGUAGGUGAACCUGCGGAAGGAUCAUUG